AAUCCAUGCAUUAGAAAUUUCCAAAUUAAGUCUUUAAAUCACUCCCAAACUUUAUAUAGUGUUUCAUCUUUCGAUUGUCGAAUAGGUGUGAUGUCAUUUCUAAGCUU
Molecule: non-coding RNA, 107 nt
Organism: Gossypium hirsutum (cotton)
Lineage: Eukaryota; Viridiplantae; Streptophyta; Magnoliopsida; Malvales; Malvaceae
Source: Rfam